Non-coding RNA from Nothobranchius furzeri (turquoise killifish), 542 nucleotides. Lineage: Eukaryota; Metazoa; Chordata; Actinopteri; Cyprinodontiformes; Nothobranchiidae. The record is from RefSeq and is a predicted model, not a curated record.
ACCUGAUCUCUCUAGGACAUUCAGAAGCCAAGUUAUAAGCCCACAAAUGUGUAACUGGACUACUUCUUUAAAGAGCGGGUCAAUUGAGCCUCGGAGUCCUUCUCCACCCACGUAUCAAUUUUAAAAAAUGCAACAUUAGUAGGCGUUGCCUGGAGGACCGAGAGGGCGGAGCCGCGGCAGUGACGAAGACGAUGGCUAACUAGACGAAUCUAGCUCCCUUCACUCUGAGCAGUUGAUAGAAGUGGAGGACGUUUCUCCCCCUCCUUACAGACACUCGAGAAGAAAGGGACCAAGUCUAUUUGGAGGAGACAAGCGGACCUGAGUCUUAUUGUUUUGAGCUUGUGAGUUGCCUGAAACUCCCAGAACCGACCCAACAGAAUCACCUCUGAAAGGUCCUCUGGUGUCUGCAGCUGGUCUCUGGUGUCUGCAGCUGGUCUCCUCUGCUGGUGUCCUCAGGAUCAGGAACUUCCAGAAGAAUGUGCCUUUCAAUGACUCUUUCCCCCUUAUUUGUUAUAUUAAUUAAAUAAAUCUCAAUUUAUAUA